AGAGUUUGAUCCUGGCUCAGGAUGAACGCUAGCUACAGGCUUAACACAUGCAAGUCGAGGGGAAACGACAGAGAGUGCUUGCACACUUUGGGCGUCGACCGGCGAAUGGGUGAGUAACGCGUAUCCAACCUGCCCUUGACUGAGGGAUAGCCCAGUGAAAACUGAAUUAAUACCUCAUGUUCUCCUCUGACGGCAUCAGACGAGGAGCAAAGAUUAAUCGGUCAAGGAUGGGGAUGCGUCUGAUUAGGUAGUAGGCGGGGUAACGGCCCACCUAGCCGACGAUCAGUAGGGGUUCUGAGAGGAAGGUCCCCCACAUUGGUACUGAGACACGGACCAAACUCCUACGGGAGGCAGCAGUGAGGAAUAUUGGUCAAUGGGCGAGAGCCUGAACCAGCCAAGUAGCGUGCAGGAUGACGGCCCUAUGGGUUGUAAACUGCUUUUAUCAGGGGAUAAAGUGAGGGACGUGUCCCUUUUUGUAGGUACCUGAUGAAUAAGGACCGGCUAAUUCCGUGCCAGCAGCCGCGGU
RNAcentral lists this ribosomal RNA (526 nucleotides) under uncultured Prevotella sp. RNAcentral's name for it is "bacterial SSU rRNA". It matches the Rfam family "Bacterial small subunit ribosomal RNA", at positions 8 to 521 of the family's 1533-position model. Lineage: Bacteria; Pseudomonadati; Bacteroidota; Bacteroidia; Bacteroidales; Prevotellaceae. The record is from RNAcentral.